Xenopus laevis (African clawed frog) is the source of this 897-nucleotide long non-coding RNA. RefSeq lists it as uncharacterized. The transcript has 2 exons. The record is from RefSeq and is a predicted model, not a curated record. NCBI's taxonomy places the organism in Eukaryota, Metazoa, Chordata, Amphibia, Anura, Pipidae.
CUGUAACACGGUUAACACAGUUAACUUAAAUAUAUAAAUGUUCGCCAAAUAUCUCAGAUCUGCAAGAGGUUAAAUUCCUGACAGGAAGAAUCACUUGGACUGUACCAAAAUACUGACCAAAAGUGCAGAAUAUACCUUUGAAUGUUUUACUGUUAAUUAUGUUCUAGUUAAGAAAUAAAUAGUUCUAACAGAGCAGCUAACUUCUGUGGGAAAGAUCAUAGCCACACUCUAAACAGAAUCUUUACCAGACCAUAAUCCUUAAUGGACUUUCCCUUACCCCCUGUCUAUAUCCUACCAUUUGGUCUGGUCCCUCCUCAGUGCUUUAGUUCCACAGAAGAGGUAAGAUGUCUGUUACUGCUCUAAUCACCUCAAAAGUUUUAUGGUUGAUUUUAAGAGUUAUUCUUUUGCUGAAUCAACUUGUCUUACCUCCAGCUAUAGCAGCCUUAUGCUUUUAUCAGGUUAGUAGUGUGUAGCAUAUUCCCAAAGUGAUUAAUGGAGACAGGCAGAGCACAUGGGAUCUAAAAUGUCUGCCAUGAGAAAACCUGUAUGCUGUAAUCCUCACAGUUAUAAACUGCUUAUUGUACUAUGCUGAGGUUGUUAUAUACUAAUGUGCUAUGUAUAUUAGCUAUGUUGCUUUUCCUUACAUUUUCCUGUAAUAUGUCAGUGGGGGUGUAUUGAAUUAACUGCCUGUUGUAAUGUAGGUGGGCUGGUGGCCUGUGAUGUACCUGAAAUUGGCAGUGUUCUCCUUACUGUUUUACAGGUAUGUUUAUACUUUAUGUUAAACUUCCUCUGUUAUGUAAAAUCCACUAUACGAUCACUGUUCUGCUCCUCAGUGCUUUAGUUCCACAGAAGAGGUCCCCAGCAGACAGUGCCAAUCAAUAAAGCAUUGUAAAGUUA